Molecule: ribosomal RNA, 466 nt
Filed under: uncultured bacterium
Lineage: Bacteria
Description: partial 16S ribosomal RNA
Rfam family: Bacterial small subunit ribosomal RNA
Source: RNAcentral
GAUGAACGCUGGCGGCGUGCUUAACACAUGCAAGUCGAACGGAAAGGCUCCUGCCUGCCGGGGUACUCGAGUGGCGAACGGGUGAGUAACACGUGGGUGAUCUGCCCUGUACUUCGGGAUAAGCUUGGGAAACUGGGUCUAAUACCGGAUAUGACAAUCUCCUGGAUGGGGUUGUGGAAAGCUUUUGCGGUAUGGGAUGAGCUCGCGGCCUAUCAGCUUGUUGGUGGGGUAAUGGCCUACCAAGGCGUCGACGGGUAGCCGGCCUGAGAGGGUGUACGGCCACAUUGGGACUGAGAUACGGCCCAGACUCCUACGGGAGGCAGCAGUGGGGAAUAUUGCACAAUGGGCGCAAGCCUGAUGCAGCGACGCCGCGUGGGGGAUGACGGCCUUCGGGUUGUAAACUCCUUUCGCAACCGACGAAGCUUUUGUGACGGUAGGUGGAGAAGAAGCACCGGCUAACUACGUG